RNAcentral lists this microRNA (22 nucleotides) under Callorhinchus milii (elephant shark). RNAcentral describes it as "eshark_NOVEL_164". The record is from RNAcentral. Lineage: Eukaryota; Metazoa; Chordata; Chondrichthyes; Chimaeriformes; Callorhinchidae.
UUGAGACUGUGGCCUGUGAUGG